This 72-nucleotide transfer RNA is filed under the name Vicugna pacos (alpaca). Its description in RNAcentral is "tRNA-Ala (AGC) (tRNA-Ala-AGC-66-1)". It matches the Rfam family "tRNA". From Rfam's summary of the family: Transfer RNA (tRNA) molecules are approximately 80 nucleotides in length. Their secondary structure includes four short double-helical elements and three loops (D, anti-codon, and T loops). Further hydrogen bonds mediate the characteristic L-shaped molecular structure. tRNAs have two regions of fundamental functional importance: the anti-codon, which is responsible for specific mRNA codon recognition, and the 3' end, to which the tRNAs corresponding amino acid is attached (by aminoacyl-tRNA synthetases). tRNAs cope with the degeneracy of the genetic code in two manners: having more than one tRNA (with a specific anti-codon) for a particular amino acid; and 'wobble' base-pairing, i.e. permitting non-standard base-pairing at the 3rd anti-codon position. The record is from Rfam by way of RNAcentral. Lineage: Eukaryota; Metazoa; Chordata; Mammalia; Artiodactyla; Camelidae.
GGGGGUGUAGCUCAGUGGUAGAGUGUGUGCUUAGCAUGCGCAAGGUCCUGGGUUCAAUCCCCAGUACCUCCA